CUGAAUUUUGCUCGCUGGAAUCGUCUUCCGUGCUGGYCCAUGUGUCACUUGGUUGRAGCWGCCCUUCAUGGUGGGAGACCCCCCCGUUCCGUGAUGAACCCCARUGCUCUUCUGACRCUCUCAGUUGUUUGAGUUGUUUGUCAAUGUGCUGGAUUGUCCGUCAAAUUCCAUCUAUUGCUGAUAUUGGCGAGAGACCRAUUACUGUGAAUACCGUGAAGRAAARAUUAAAAGCACUUUGGAAACAGAGUUAACAAUUGUUGAAAUUGUUGAAAAGUGAACGAUUGAUGUCAUUUGUGCGUGGCUGCUCUCUGCUCUGGUUCCUCUGUGCUUUUCCGUGCCUUUGUCGGUUUUUGCCGUUUCACAAGGCGUGUAARAGCGUGASACUUGKGACUGCUAUAGGUGUGUUAAAAUCUCUUGCGSAAUACCCCACGACUGASASAUCAGCCUCGCACGCCGCMAGGMMRASACUCUAGUCUCUGCCCGCUAACGAUGACCGUGAAAUGGCUUUAAACGACCCGUCUUGAAAC
Molecule: ribosomal RNA, 527 nt
Filed under: Cystastrum brasiliense
Lineage: Eukaryota; Fungi; Basidiomycota; Cystobasidiomycetes; Cystobasidiales; Cystobasidiaceae
Description: Occultifur brasiliensis partial large subunit ribosomal RNA
Source: RNAcentral